This 417-nucleotide unclassified non-coding RNA is filed under the name uncultured Sebacina. RNAcentral describes it as "sequence contains ITS2". The stretch from base 1 to 154 matches the Rfam family "5.8S ribosomal RNA". The record is from RNAcentral. Lineage: Eukaryota; Fungi; Basidiomycota; Agaricomycetes; Sebacinales; Sebacinaceae.
AACUUUUAACAACGGAUCUAUUGGCUCUCGCAUCGAUGAAGAACGCAGCGAAAUGCGAUAAGUAAUGUGAAUUGCAGAAUUCAGUGAAUCAUCGAAUCUUUGAACGCACCUUGCACCCUUUGGCAUUCCGAAGGGUAUGCUCGUUUGAGUGUCAUUGUACUCUCACACUCCCGAUGCUGAUGGACUGGGAGUGGUUGACUUGGGUGUUGCUGCUUUACUGUGGGUCACCUCAAAUGGAGUAGUGCAACUCUUGGUUGGACAUAGUACGGCGUGGUAAGUGUCUUCGCCGGCGCCUCGUUAGGGGGUGGCCGAUCGGGCGCUCUGUGCUUCAAACCGUCUUCGGACAACAUCUGACAACUUGCCCUCAAAUCGAGUAGGACUCCCCGCUAAAAUUAAGCAUAUCAAUAAGCGGAGGCU